CUUCAAGCUUCACAUCCAGGAUCCAUCUGCCUCUGUGGAGAAAAGGAGAGAAGUGGUCCUGAGAUGCCUGAUUGAGUACAUGGGGGAGAGACAGGAAGACCUCAUCAGUGUCCACCACAGUCGUGAUGAAACAGAGGUGCACGCUGAGCUUGGCAGUUGCCCACUGAAAAUUUACAUGUGCCAUCAGCCCGACACGAUUGGGAUUAUCAUAGAAGGACAGCCCGUGGUCAGAGGUGUGCCAAACCUGUCGAAAGCAUGCUGCCUCCUGUUUGGACUUACCUAUGCCAUCGACCUCAAGUAUCCCUCAAAACUGGUGUAUACUUUUGAGAUAUAUCAGAGGCUCUUUGUGGG
Molecule: long non-coding RNA, 351 nt
Organism: Sinocyclocheilus anshuiensis
Lineage: Eukaryota; Metazoa; Chordata; Actinopteri; Cypriniformes; Cyprinidae
Exons: 3
Source: RefSeq, a predicted model, not a curated record